GAACGACUCUCGACAACUGAUAUCUAGACUCUUGCAUCGAUGAAGAACGUAGUGAAAUGCGAUACUUGGUGUGAAUUGCAGAAUCCCGUGAACCAUCGAGUCUUUGAACGCAAGUUGCGCCCGAAGCCAUUAGGCUGAGGGCACGCCUGCCUGGGUGUCACAC
RNAcentral lists this ribosomal RNA (163 nucleotides) under Lespedeza bicolor. RNAcentral describes it as "5.8S ribosomal RNA". It matches the Rfam family "5.8S ribosomal RNA". From Rfam's summary of the family: 5.8S ribosomal RNA (5.8S rRNA) is a component of the large subunit of the eukaryotic ribosome. It is transcribed by RNA polymerase I as part of the 45S precursor that also contains 18S and 28S rRNA. Functionally, it is thought that 5.8S rRNA may be involved in ribosome translocation. Lineage: Eukaryota; Viridiplantae; Streptophyta; Magnoliopsida; Fabales; Fabaceae. The record is from RNAcentral.